GGGGAAUAUUGCACAAUGGGGGAAACCCUGAUGCAGCGACGCCGCGUGAGCGAAGAAGUAUCUCGGUAUGUAAAGCUCUAUCAGCAGGGAAGAAAAAAAUGACGGUACCUGACUAAGAAGCCCCGGCUAACUACGUGCCAGCAGCCGCGGUAAUACGUAGGGGGCAAGCGUUAUCCGGAUUUACUGGGUGUAAAGGGAGCGCAGGCGGUACGGCAAGUCUGAUGUGAAAGCCCGGGGCUCAACCCCGGUACUGCAUUGGAAACUGUCGGACUAGAGUGUCGGAGGGGUAAGUGGAAUUCCUAGUGUAGCGGUGAAAUGCGUAGAUAUUAGGAGGAACACCAGUGGCGAAGGCGGCUUACUGGACGAUUACUGACGCUGAGGCUCGAAAGCGUGGGGAGCAAACAGG
This 406-nucleotide ribosomal RNA is filed under the name uncultured bacterium. Its description in RNAcentral is "bacterial SSU rRNA". It matches the Rfam family "Bacterial small subunit ribosomal RNA", at positions 356 to 776 of the family's 1533-position model. The record is from RNAcentral.